This 2873-nucleotide ribosomal RNA is filed under the name Verrucomicrobiota bacterium. Its description in RNAcentral is "Verrucomicrobia bacterium (freshwater metagenome) 23S ribosomal RNA". It matches the Rfam family "Bacterial large subunit ribosomal RNA". Lineage: Bacteria; Pseudomonadati; Verrucomicrobiota. The record is from RNAcentral.
UGUGAUCAAGCUACUAAGUGCAAACGGUGGAUGCCUUGGUGCCAAGAGGCGAUGAAGGACGUAGCAAGUUGCGAUAAGCCACGGGAAGCCGCAAGCAGGCGUUGAUCCGUGGAUCUCCGAAUGGGACAACCCAGCCGUCGUAACGGGCGGUUAUCGACCGGAUGAAUUCAUAGUCCGGCGAGGCGAAACGGGGUGAAGUGAAACAUCUCAGUAACCCCAGGAAAAGAAAACGAAGCGAUUCCGUCAGUAGUGGCGAGCGAAAGCGGAACAGCCUAAACCGGAGGGACUUGUCCUUCCGGGGUUGCGGGACCUUGACGUGGGAGGUCAGACGUGAGCUUAACGGCCUGGAAAGGCCGGCCAUAGACCGUGACAGCCGGGUGAGCGAAGCGCGAGGCCCCCUAGAGGUAUCCCAAGUAAUGCGGUGCACGUGAAACUCCGCAUGAAUCCGUCCGGACCACCGGAUAAGGCUAAAUACUCCUUGGCAACCGAUAGUGAACUAGUACCGCGAGGGAAAGGUGAAAAGAACCCCGGCUAGGGGAGUGAAAUAGUUACUGAAACCGAUUGCAUACAAUGUGUAGGAGCCCGCAAGGGUGACUGCUUGCCUUUUGCAUAAUGAGUCUGCGAGUUAUUGUCAGUGGCCAGCUUAAGCCCCUCUGGGGUGAAGGCGAAGGGAAACCGAGUACGAAUGGUGCGCCAAGUCGCUGGCAAUAGACCCGAAGCGGAGGUGAUCUACUCUUGAGCAGGUUGAAGCCUGGGUAACACCAGGUGAAGGACCGAACUCGUGGAUGUUGAAAAAUCCUGAGAUGACUUGAGAGUAGGAGCGAAAGACUAAUCAAACCCCGUGAUAGCUGGUUCUCUCCGAAAUAGCUUGAGGGCUAGCGUCGGGAAAGUACUCCAGGGAGGUAGAGCACUGGAUGGCUUAGGGUCCCCACCAGGAUGCCAAAACCAAUCAAACUCCGAAUGCCCUGGAAAACAUUACCCCGGCAGUCAGGCUGCGAGGGAUAAGCUUCGUAGCCGAGAGGGCAACAGCCCUGACCAUCAGCUAAGGUGCCUAAAUGUGGUUAAGUGGAAAGGAUGUGACGUUGCUUAGACAGUGAGGAUGUUGGCUUAGAGGCAGCCACCAUUUAAACAGUGCGUAAUAGCUGACUCAUCGAGCGAUGUCGCGCCGAAAAUGAUUGGCGAUCAAACCGCAUACCGAAGCUAUGGAUGCUGGAGCUCUUUGGAGCGCCAGCGUGGUAGGAGAGCGUAAUCAGUGCAGCGAAGCCCGACGGAAACGGACGGUGGAGCGCUGAUUAGUGAGAAUGCAGACAUGAGUAGCGAUAAACCAGAUGAGAAUUCUGGUCGCCGUAAACCUAAGGUUUCCUGGGGCAGGUUCGUCCUCCCAGGGUUAGCCGGGAGCUAAGGUGAGGCCGUAAGGCGUAGCCGAUGCACAGCGGGUUAAUAUUCCCGCGCCGGCUUGGGUUAAGGCCGUGGCUGACGCAGAGAGAAAAGUGGCCAAGUCAUUGAAAGACAGAGCUUAGGGGCGACCCGAAGCGUACCACCGGACAAUCUGCCUAGAAAAGGCCGCGGUUGUUCCCCAGGCCGCCCGUACCGUAAACCGACACAGGUGGGUGAGUCGAAUAGACUAAGGCGCGCGAGAGAAACCUCUCUAAGGAACUCGGCAAAUUAGCCCCGUAACUUCGGGAAAAGGGGUGCUCCACGCAAGUGGAGCCGCAGUAAAUUGCGUUUAGCGACUGUUUAACAAAAACACAGCACUCUGCAAAGUCGUCAAGACGACGUAUAGGGUGUGACACGUGACCAAUGCGGAAAGAUCAAGGCAAGAGGUUAGCCGCAAGGCGAAGCUUCGAACCUAAGUCCCCGUGAAUGUCGGCCGUAACUAUAACGGUCCUAAGGUAGCGAAAUUCCUUGUCGGGUAAGUUCCGACCUGCACGAAUCGUGUAACGACUGAACGACUGUCUCGGAGAGGAUCUCGGCGAAAUUGUAGCUGCGGUGAAGAUGCCGCAUGCCCGCAGUAGGACGGAAAGACCCUAUGCACCUUUACUGUAAGCUCGUAUUGUGUUCUGAUUAAGGAUGCUUAGCGUAGGUGGGAGGCUUUGAAGGCAUGGCUUCGGUCGUGCUGGAGCCGCAAUGUGAAACACCACUCUUUUUUAAUUAGGAUUCUAACCCCGAUUCCUGUUAGCCAGGCGGGGGACAGUGCGUGCGGGUCAGUUUGACUGGGGCGGUUUCCUCCAAAAGUGUAACGGAGGAGCGCUAAGCUUGGCUCAGCACGGUUGGCAACUGUGCGUCGAGCGUAUGGGUAGAAGCCAGGUUGACUGCAAGACCAACAAGUCGAGCAGAUGCGAAAGCAGGCCCAAGUGAUCCGAUGGUUGAAUGUGGAAUUGCCAUCGCUCAACGGACAAAAGGUACGCUAGGGAUAACAGGCUGAUCGAUUCCAAGAGUUCACAUCGACGAAUCGGUUUGGCACCUCGAUGUCGGCUCAUCGCAUCCUGGGGCUGGAGAAGGUCCCAAGGGUCCGGCUGUUCGCCGGUUAAAGCGGUACGCGAGCUGGGUUCAGAACGUCGUGAGACAGUUCGGUCCUUAUCCACUGUGGGCGAAGGAAACUUGAGGGGUUCAUUCUUUAGUACGAGAGGACCGAGAAUGACGCACUUCUGGUGUGGCAGUUGUUCCGUCAGGGGCAUCGCUGCGUAGCCAUGUGCGGAAGGGAUAAGCGCUGAAAGCAUCUAAGUGCCAAGCCCAUCCCAAGAUAUGGUUUCCCGGCCGCAAGGCCCUAAAGACCCCAGGUAGACCACCUGGUUGAUAGGUCAGGCGUGCAAGCGCUGCGAAGCGUUUAGCGGACUGAUACUAAUCGGUCGUGAGGCUUGAUCGCUUUUUUU